Molecule: ribosomal RNA, 498 nt
Filed under: uncultured bacterium
Lineage: Bacteria
Description: bacterial SSU rRNA
Rfam family: Bacterial small subunit ribosomal RNA
Source: RNAcentral
GAUGAACGCUAGCUACAGGCUUAACACAUGCAAGUCGAGGGGCAGCAUGAACUUAGCUUGCUAAGUUUGAUGGCGACCGGCGCACGGGUGAGUAACGCGUAUCCAACCUACCCUUGUCCAUCGGAUAACCCGUCGAAAGGCGGCCUAACACGAUAUGCGGUUCUCAGCAGGCAUCUAACGAGAACGAAAUGUGAAGGAGAAGGAUGGGGAUGCGUCUGAUUAGCUUGUUGGCGGGGUAACGGCCCACCAAGGCGACGAUCAGUAGGGGUUCUGAGAGGAAGGUCCCCCACAUUGGAACUGAGACACGGUCCAAACUCCUACGGGAGGCAGCAGUGAGGAAUAUUGGUCAAUGGACGGGAGUCUGAACCAGCCAAGUAGCGUGCAGGAUGACGGCCCUAUGGGUUGUAAACUGCUUUUAUAGGGGGAUAAAGUGUGCCACGUGUGGCAUAUUGCAGGUACCAUUUGAAUAAGGACCGGCUAAUUCCGUGCCAGCAGCCG